Non-coding RNA from Podospora appendiculata, 124 nucleotides. Lineage: Eukaryota; Fungi; Ascomycota; Sordariomycetes; Sordariales; Podosporaceae. The record is from the annotation of a GenBank genome assembly.
UGCUCGCUGAUGCAAUGGUUAGCACGUGGCCUCAAGAUGAAUGUUUCGAGACAUAUUCUAGACGUUGUCGCGACUCAUUGAAUUUGCACGGUCAAGAUGUCGGUUCGAUUCCGCGCACGGGCAC